This 83-nucleotide transfer RNA is filed under the name Caudoviricetes sp. RNAcentral describes it as "tRNA-Ser". It matches the Rfam family "tRNA". Rfam says of the family: Transfer RNA (tRNA) molecules are approximately 80 nucleotides in length. Lineage: Duplodnaviria; Heunggongvirae; Uroviricota; Caudoviricetes. The record is from RNAcentral.
GCUCGGUAUCCGGCUGGAUGAGGGCGCGGAUUUGAAAUCCGUUGGGCGUAACUGCCUUGUGGGUUCGAGUCCUACACCGAGCG